RNAcentral lists this long non-coding RNA (1741 nucleotides) under Brassica napus (rape). RNAcentral's name for it is "long non-coding RNA (BNAP_LNC008689)". Lineage: Eukaryota; Viridiplantae; Streptophyta; Magnoliopsida; Brassicales; Brassicaceae. The record is from RNAcentral.
CCAAUUAAUUCCUAAGGUUGUGAACUUCAAUUAUGUUGAAAGGUUGUCUUUUGAAAAAUAUGUGUAGAUGGUUGUGUCUUUUCUAAAAGUUAUAUGUUGUAAGGUUGUGUCCUUCUAAAAAUAGUUUAAAAGUUGUGACUAUUCACUAAUAUCUUUUAAAAAGUGAGAAAUUGUGAGUAUAAGAAUGUGACUAUUCAUAUUGAAGGGUUGUGACUAUUUAAAUAGGCUUUAAAAAAUCUAUAAAUAGUCUCUCCCAUGCAUUUUUCAAAUCAAAUUUUCACUAAUCUAUUAAUAAUAAAAUGGUGAAAAAAAUAAUGUCAAAGUUGCAACUUUUCAUCUAAACAAAGUGCAUUUUCAUCUCAAAGUGGGAUUGCUUUAAAAAAUAUCUACUAAUAAUAGAAAUCCCAAUUAAUUCCAAUGGUUGUGAGUCCACUUAUGUUGAAAAAUUGUGUCUUUUGAAAAAGAAGUGUAAAGGGUUGUGUCUUUUCUAAAAGUUCUAUGUUGGAAGGUUGUGUCUUUUCCAAUUAAUUUCUAAGGUUGUGAAUCCACUUAUGUUGAAAGGUUGUGUCUUUUGAAAAAGUAGUGUAAAGGGUUGUGUCUUUUCUAAAAGUUCUAUGUUGUAAGGUUGUGUCUUUUCCAAUUAAUUCCUAAGGUUGUGAACUUCAAUUAUGUUGAAAGGUUGUCUUUUGAAAAAUAUGUGUAGAUGGUUGUGUCUUUUCUAAAAGUUAUAUGUUGUAAGGUUGUGUCCUUCUAAAAAUAGUUUAAAAGUUGUGACUAUUCACUAAUAUCUUUUAAAAAGUGAGAAAUUGUGAGUAUAAGAAUGUGACUAUUCAUAUUGAAGGGUUGUGACUAUUUAAAUAGGCUUUAAAAAAUCUAUAAAUAGUCUCUCCCAUGCAUUUUUCAAAUCAAAUUUUCACUAAUCUAUUAAUAAUAAAAUGGUGAAAAAAAUAAUGUCAAAGUUGCAACUUUUCAUCUAAACAAAGUGCAUUUUCAUCUCAAAGUGGGAUUGCUUUAAAAAAUAUCUACUAAUAAUAGAAAUCCCAAUUAAUUCCAAUGGUUGUGAGUCCACUUAUGUUGAAAGGUUGUGUCUUUUGAAAAAGAAGUGUAAAGGGUUGUGUCUUUUCUAAAAGUUCUAUGUUGGAAGGUUGUGUCUUUUCCAAUUAAUUUCUAAGGUUGUGAAUCCACUUAUGUUGAAAGGUUGUGUCUUUUGAAAAAGUAGUGUAAAGGGUUGUGUCUUUUCUAAAAGUUCUAUGUUGUAAGGUUGUGUCUUUUCCAAUUAAUUCCUAAGGUUGUGAACUUCAAUUAUGUUGAAAGGUUGUCUUUUGAAAAAUAUGUUUAAAGGGUUGUGUCUUUUCUAAAAGUUAUAUGUUGUAAGGUUGUGUCCUUCUAAAAAUAGUCUAAAAGUUGUGACUAUUCACUAAUAUCUUUUAAAAAGUGAGAAAUUGUGAGUAUAAGAAUGUGACUAUUCAUAUUGAAGGGUUGUGACUAUUCAAAUAGACUUUAAAAAAUUUAUAAAUAGUCUCUCCCAUGCAUUUUUCAAAUCAAAAUUUCACUAAUCUACUAAUAAUAAAAUGGUGAAAAAAAUAAUGUCAAAUUUGCAACUUUUCAUCUAAACAAGGUGUCUUUUCGUCUCAAAGUGGGAUUGCUUUAAAAAAUGUUGGUUUUAUUUAAGUAAUGUGUUAGUUUAUAUAAUAAGUGUUAGUAUUUUAUAAGAACUCUCCCAAAAAUUAAAAAAAAAUAU